RNAcentral lists this ribosomal RNA (253 nucleotides) under uncultured bacterium. RNAcentral's name for it is "partial 16S ribosomal RNA". It matches the Rfam family "Bacterial small subunit ribosomal RNA", at positions 524 to 776 of the family's 1533-position model. The record is from RNAcentral.
UACGGGGGGGGCAAGCGUUGUUCGGAAUUACUGGGCGUAAAGGGCUCGUAGGCGGCCAACUAAGUCAGACGUGAAAUCCCUCGGCCUAACCGGGGAACUGCGUCUGAUACUGGUUGGCUUGAAUCCGGGAGAGGGAUGUGGAAUUCCAGGUGUAGCGGUGAAAUGCGUAGAUAUCUGGAGGAACACCGGUGGCGAAGGCGGCAUCCUGGACCGGUAUUGACGCUGAGGCGCGAAAGCCAGGGGAGCAAACGGG